UGGAGGAGGAGGUGGCGGUGGAUCUGGAGGAGCAGAGGCUCAAGCGGAAGCGCGAGCAGUACGAGCUCAUCGACAAGAGCUACGAGGAGGCCCACCUCGACGCUCAAGAAGUGCAGGACGAGGCCGUUGAGUUCGACGAGGAGGUCGAUGACGAGCUCUCGGAGGUACUACUCUGUUCUGUUCUAUUCUCCUACUCUGUUUUUGGGGUUUUCUCCCUUGGGGUUUUCUCCUGAAUUGCAUGCAGCACGGAUUAGAUUUCGUCCAGAUAGGUUAUGUUUCUUGAUCUCUCCCUUAGGGUUAGGAUUAGUACUAGUUGUUUCGUACAUUUGGAAGGAAACCCCUUCAAUCUGAAACCUGGCAUGGAACAGUAGUCAUGUAGGCCUAAAAUCCCCAUGUGCGUGCAACAGUAGUCAUAAUCAGUUCUGCUAUAGAAAACGGUGUAUUUUUAGGUAUCACCUCUUUGAUUCGUACGAUUUCCAAAACGCAGGAAUAGGGAAAGCGUGGGAUUAGAGUGGCAUGUCAUCUUGAAUCCUACAGGAUUGUAUGAGUGUUUGAUUGUGCAUACUAAAAACGUAGGAUUCUUUCAGACAGGUCUGAGUGGAUGGAAAAUUUCCUACAAAUUUGUUUAUUUAAUGACAGUCAAUAAGAGGAUCAAUGAUUAAUAUCUAGAACAUGAAAAGUUGACAUGCAACAGUAAAUAUUUAUCAACAUUGCUUGAGCUUCUAUAAAUGGUAACUUUUUAAACAUGUACUCUGGAAACAACUUUGAAUAUUUGCUGUUGGAUGAAGCCAAUCCAACGGUGGACAGAUGGGAAAUCCCAGCAUUUUUGGCCAUUCAAUAUCUUAUUUACUACAAAAGAAAAAUUCCAAGCAUGCGUACUAUAUAGAAUAUUCCAUUUGUAAGCUCAAGCAUUAUGCUACCUAUGCACAAACAACCACAUAGCACUAUGUUUCUCCUGGUAGUACAACCCCUGUUUAAAUGAGUACAACCCCUGUUACAACUAUGCUCUGUUCCUCAAUUGUGCAACCCAUUAUCUGGUUUUGCUAUUCAUGAAAAUAUGCUCCAUUCUUCAAUAGUGGCAACCCAUUAUCUGGUUUUGGUAUGCGUGAAACUGGGCCACAUCUUCGAGUCAUGCAUCUGGUCAGUACUGAUGCAUGCAGUAACAAUUUACGGCCACUGUCUGCCAUUAACAACAAACAUGGAUUAGUUCUUCUCUUACACAAAUCAAUCCAUGAAACUAUGCCACAUCAGUAAUCAUGCAUGCCAAGUCCAUGCAACAGUACAUUUCUAGCAACAAGAUUUUCUAUUGCAUUCUUACUAUAUAGAAUUUUCCAUUACUAAGCGUAAUCAUAAUGCUCCAUAUGCACAAAGCUGAUACCACAUUUUCUCCUUUCUUAUAGAAUCUUUCUUACCUUAACAGUGCAAAAAAUUUCUAUCUGCUUCAUGAUUUCCAUAUAAUGAAGUGGACUAUGCAUCUUAUUUUCAAUCUGAUUACCAAAUCUGUUGAGACCUAGUAAACAGUACAUUUAUUUAGUUGUCAGAAAAACUGGUUUAUUUUAUGAAAAUCAUGAAGCCAUACAGCUAUAUUGUGAAGACAUUUUCUAAUUGUAGUCAGUAAUUCAUUGCAGAGUUUCUUAUGUACGCACCCUAUGUAAUUAUUACCAACAAGGAUGAGUAAUUAAAGCCAUAAUUUCUUAUGUUCGCAACCGAUGUACCUCAAUCCAAAAUUUCUCUUUUUUAUACAUAAUUCAUGACCUCAUUCAUAUGUUUUGUUGUCUUCAAAAUAUCAAGUGAGGGCAAUCUUUUGUUUGUUGAUGCGGUAGUUUUACUUUGUAGUAUGUACUCAUCUAGUUUGAAUAUCAUUAAAUUAGAUAUUUUCUAUUAUCUCUUUAUGAUAAAACCAGAUCAUACAACAUAUUGUUGCAAGAAAUGGCAAGAAAUGAUCAUGUUUUUGGAAUUAUCUAUUUUCAGUAUGAACUAAAAUAUGUGCUUGAAUGCAGUAAAGUGAUUUGUUCAUACCGUAAAACCUGAACACUUUAGUUAAUUGUCAACUUAGAUUGUACAAAUAGGAGUACUUUAGAGGGGAGAACAGCUACGCAUGCAAAGCAAAGAAAAAAGAACAAGAAAGAUAACUAAUAAUACAUAAACAUAUAUUGCAAUACAUGAGGUACAUGUUGUGUGAAUCAUUUGAUUGAUCAUAUUUUUGUAUUCCUACUUUAGGAAUGUACUUGAUACUCUUACGAAAUGCUACAUUUCUAUAUUCCUAAUCUGACAUAGCUGUCGAUCAACUAACACACAGGAAGAUGACGAAGACGUGGAUGAUAGUAAGGAGAGCAGGGACAGCAAGAGCCGCUACGUCCCCAGGAGGCUGCGGAAUGGGGAAAUCCCAUACCGCAGCGGAUACAACAGGCUCUACGGCAACAUAGCCUGCCCCUUCUGCUGCGCGAUUAUCAAGAGCGACUACAACAGCCUGAUCAUCCAUGGCACCUAUAUCGGCCGUGGUAAUGGGAGGAACCGCAAGCCCCACGUCCGGGCUAAACAUGCCGCUUUUGGUGCCUUCCUCAGGAAGUACGCGAAGGGGCAUCUGCCAUUCUACCUCCCGAGGCCUCCUCGUCCGGCCAAGAUGCUGAGGAUCUGAUGCGCUGCUUGGUUGUUACUGCUGGCCCACCCUAGUUAAGACUGUUUUUAUGUUAUGGUUGUCGUGUGAUACUUCUGCCCUACCGUACUGCUUGAACUUAUGCGCCG
RNAcentral lists this long non-coding RNA (2745 nucleotides) under Triticum aestivum (bread wheat). RNAcentral describes it as "long non-coding RNA (TAES_LNC009156)". The record is from RNAcentral. Lineage: Eukaryota; Viridiplantae; Streptophyta; Magnoliopsida; Poales; Poaceae.